GACAUCACGCCAUGGCUGAAUGUUUACCAGCCAUGGUUGUGUAGUAAAAAAUAUCUUCGUUUCCUUAAUCACGCUGUGCUAGACCUUCGGCUAUCAUCUAAUAGGCAACGAGAUGCCCGUUCCGGUACAAGGCGGCUACCAGCGAGGUCCCAGCUGCUGGGAUCGCGUGAAAAUGGGCUUCACGAUUGGUUUUUGCGUCGGAAUGGCGUCAGGAGCGCUCUUCGGAGGUUUUUCCGCUCUCAGAUAUGGCCUGAGGGGGCGAGAACUGAUCCAGAGUGUUGGCAAAGUGAUGCUACAGGGCGGUGGCACAUUUGGAACAUUCAUGUCCAUAGGAACUGCAAUCAGAUGCUGAAAGUCUAUAGCCGUUUACCUACUCUAUGUUUCGCCGAUCUGCUCCGAGAUGUAAAAUGAAUCACAGCGUAUAAAAUUUUGUUUUCUUUUGCGACGUGAAGUGGCCAACUGCCUUGGGGAUAAUGGAUUUCCUACCCUUAAUCAAUACAGCCUUCAUUCUUUUUUGGCAUUUCUUAACGUUGCUUCUUCAAUAAACGAAUAAAACUCUAUAUACUUCAAUAA
This is a long non-coding RNA of Rhipicephalus microplus (southern cattle tick), 573 nucleotides long. The record is from RefSeq and is a predicted model, not a curated record. NCBI's taxonomy places the organism in Eukaryota, Metazoa, Arthropoda, Arachnida, Ixodida, Ixodidae.